GCCUGGGUGGCUCAGUUGAUUAAGCAUCUGACUUCAGCUCAGGUCAUGAUCUCACUAUUUGUGGGUUCGAGCCCCGCAUCUGGCU
Transfer RNA from Felis catus (domestic cat), 85 nucleotides. It matches the Rfam family "tRNA". From Rfam's summary of the family: Transfer RNA (tRNA) molecules are approximately 80 nucleotides in length. Their secondary structure includes four short double-helical elements and three loops (D, anti-codon, and T loops). Further hydrogen bonds mediate the characteristic L-shaped molecular structure. tRNAs have two regions of fundamental functional importance: the anti-codon, which is responsible for specific mRNA codon recognition, and the 3' end, to which the tRNAs corresponding amino acid is attached (by aminoacyl-tRNA synthetases). tRNAs cope with the degeneracy of the genetic code in two manners: having more than one tRNA (with a specific anti-codon) for a particular amino acid; and 'wobble' base-pairing, i.e. permitting non-standard base-pairing at the 3rd anti-codon position. The record is from Rfam. Lineage: Eukaryota; Metazoa; Chordata; Mammalia; Carnivora; Felidae.